This is a non-coding RNA of Daedalea quercina L-15889, 104 nucleotides long. The record is from the annotation of a GenBank genome assembly. Lineage: Eukaryota; Fungi; Basidiomycota; Agaricomycetes; Polyporales; Fomitopsidaceae.
GGCCUUGUGGUCUAGUCGUAUGAUUCCUUCUUAGGGUGGUGUUCCUAGCUAAUGUGGCAUUACGUGAUUGGAGGAGGUCCCGGGUUCAAUUCCCGGCAAGGCCC